GACGAACGCUGGCGGCGUGCUUAACACAUGCAAGUCGAACGAAAAGAGGGAAAGAGCUUGCUCUUUCCGGAAUUGAGUGGCAAACGGGUGAGUAACACGUAAACAACCUGCCUUCAGGAUGGGGACAACAGACGGAAACGACUGCUAAUACCGAAUAAGUUCCAAGAGCCGCAUGGCCCAUGGAAGAAAAGGUGGCCUCUACCUGUAAGCUAUCGCCUGAAGAGGGGUUUGCGUCUGAUUAGCUGGUUGGAGGGGUAACGGCUCACCAAGGCGACGAUCAGUAGCCGGUCUGAGAGGAUGAACGGCCACACUGGAACUGAGACACGGUCCAGACUCCUACGGGAGGCAGCAGUGGGGAAUCUUCCGCAAUGGGCGAAAGCCUGACGGAGCAACGCCGCGUGAGUGAUGACGGCCUUCGGGUUGUAAAACUCUGUGAUCCGGGACGAAAAGGCAGAGUGCGAAGAACAAACUGCAUUGACGGUACCGGAAAAGCAAGCCACGGCUAACUACGUG
This 513-nucleotide ribosomal RNA is filed under the name uncultured bacterium. Its description in RNAcentral is "partial 16S ribosomal RNA". It matches the Rfam family "Bacterial small subunit ribosomal RNA", at positions 28 to 507 of the family's 1533-position model. The record is from RNAcentral.